CUUAUCCCCAAAACCUCAUUUCUCAACUCUAAACCAUAAACCCUAAACUCUAAACCCUAAACCCUAAACCCUAAACUCUAAACCCUAAACCCUAAACCCUGAACCUUAAACUCUAAACCCUAAACUCUAAACCCUAAACCCUAAACCCUAAACCUUAAAUCCUAAACUCUAAACCCUAAACUCUAAACCCUAAACCCUAAAUCCUAAAUCCCACCCUUUAACUCUAAACCCUAAGUUUGUGACUUUUGA
This 249-nucleotide long non-coding RNA is filed under the name Brassica napus (rape). RNAcentral's name for it is "long non-coding RNA (BNAP_LNC013069)". Lineage: Eukaryota; Viridiplantae; Streptophyta; Magnoliopsida; Brassicales; Brassicaceae. The record is from RNAcentral.